GGCCCAGCGUGGUGGCGCACGC
This 22-nucleotide unclassified non-coding RNA is filed under the name Mus musculus (house mouse). RNAcentral's name for it is "oocyte_clustered_small_RNA6649". Lineage: Eukaryota; Metazoa; Chordata; Mammalia; Rodentia; Muridae. The record is from RNAcentral.